GAUGAACGCUGGCGGCGUGCCUAAUACAUGCAAGUCGAGCGAACAGACGAGGAGCUUGCUCCUCUGACGUUAGCGGCGGACGGGUGAGUAACACGUGGAUAACCUACCUAUAAGACUGGGAUAACUUCGGGAAACCGGAGCUAAUACCGGAUAACAUGUUGAACCGCAUGGUUCAACAGUGAAAGACGGUCUUGCUGUCACUUAUAGAUGGAUCCGCGCCGCAUUAGCUAGUUGGUAAGGUAACGGCUUACCAAGGCAACGAUGCGUAGCCGACCUGAGAGGGUGAUCGGCCACACUGGAACUGAGACACGGUCCAGACUCCUACGGGGGGCAGCAGUAGGGAAUCUUCCGCAAUGGGCGAAAGCCUGACGGAGCAACGCCGCGUGAGUGAUGAAGGUCUUCGGAUCGUAAAACUCUGUUAUUAGGGAAGAACAAAUGUGUAAGUAACUAUGCACGUCUUGACGGUACCUAAUCAGAAAGCCACGGCUAACUACGUG
Molecule: ribosomal RNA, 497 nt
Filed under: uncultured bacterium
Lineage: Bacteria
Description: partial 16S ribosomal RNA
Rfam family: Bacterial small subunit ribosomal RNA
Source: RNAcentral